Molecule: ribosomal RNA, 465 nt
Filed under: uncultured bacterium
Lineage: Bacteria
Description: partial 16S ribosomal RNA
Rfam family: Bacterial small subunit ribosomal RNA
Source: RNAcentral
CCUACGGGAGACAGCAGUGGGGAAUAUUGCGCAAUGGGCGAAAGCCUGACGCAGCGACGCCGCGUGAGGGAUGAAGGUCUUCGGAUCGUAAACCUCUGUCAGCAGGGAAGAACGAUCCCUUUGCUAAUCAGCAUUGCAUUGACGGUACCUGCAAAGGAAGCACCGACUAACUCCGUGCCAGCAGCCGCGGUAAUACGGAGGGUGCGAGCGUUAAUCGGAAUUACUGGGCGUAAAGCGCUCGUAGGCGGUAUGUCAAGUCAAGGGUGAAAUCCCCGCGCUCAACGUGGGAACUGCCUUUGAAACUGGUAAACUGGAGUGUGGGAGAGGAUAGUGGAAUUCCAGGUGUAGGAGUGAAAUCCGUAGAUAUCUGGAGGAACAUCAGUGGCGAAGGCGACUAACUGGAACAUAACUGACGCUGAGGAGCGAAAGCGUGGGUAGCAAACAGGAUUAGAUACCCUGGUAGUC